AGAGGAGAAGAAUUGAUGCUGCUGAAGGGCAGAUGAGAUGUGCUGCUGAUGGCAGGAGUUGUCGGUGCUGAUUGUGGGCCGCCCGCUUGCCCAGCAACAUGUUGGAGUGGUGUAGUAGGUUGUCCUAUUGUUAUAUACAAAUAAGGGGACUGCACUUUGUCUCUUGGCUGCAAUGGUGUGGAAAUGACAGUGCAGAGACAGGGAACCC
Lolium rigidum is the source of this 208-nucleotide long non-coding RNA. RefSeq lists it as uncharacterized. NCBI's taxonomy places the organism in Eukaryota, Viridiplantae, Streptophyta, Magnoliopsida, Poales, Poaceae. The transcript has 3 exons. The record is from RefSeq and is a predicted model, not a curated record.